CAGCAGCCACGGGAAUACGGAGGGUGCAAGCGUUAAUCGGAAUUACUGGGCGUAAAGCGUGCGCAGGCGGUUUGUUAAGACAGAUGUGAAAUCCCCGGGCUCAACCUGGGAACUGCAUUUGUGACUGGCAAGCUAGAGUGUGGCAGAGGGGGGUGGAAUUCCGCGUGUAGCAGUGAGAUGCGUAGAUAUGCGGAGGAACACUGAUGGCGAAGGCAGCCCCCUGGGCCAACACUGACGCCCAUGCGCGAAAGCGUGGGGAGCAAGCAGGAUUAGAUACCCCUGUAGUCCCUGUCUCUUAUAC
RNAcentral lists this ribosomal RNA (301 nucleotides) under uncultured bacterium. RNAcentral describes it as "partial 16S ribosomal RNA". It matches the Rfam family "Bacterial small subunit ribosomal RNA", at positions 509 to 807 of the family's 1533-position model. The record is from RNAcentral.